This is a long non-coding RNA of Panicum virgatum (switchgrass), 620 nucleotides long. RefSeq lists it as uncharacterized. NCBI's taxonomy places the organism in Eukaryota, Viridiplantae, Streptophyta, Magnoliopsida, Poales, Poaceae. The transcript is spliced from 2 exons. The record is from RefSeq and is a predicted model, not a curated record.
AUGUUCUCACGGCGCUGCGGCGACUCGUGGCGACCUACCCCCCUCACAACGCCUAGGCGUAUAAGGCGCGCGGCGAGGUGACGCCAUAGAGCAUCAUUGGAGGGAGAAUUCUCAUCAUCGGUGACAUCUACAUCAUCAUAUGGAUCUUGAAGCUCUUCCUCUUCUUCAUUCUCUGAACCCAUGUGUUCAUCUUCAUCAUCUUCAACAAUUGUAGCAGAACUUCUUGCACGUUUCCUGUAAGUGAUUGGCUCACCAUGGUUGUAUCUAUGAGCUGUCCUAGGAAGAUUGCGACCACGAAGUGCUUCUGAUGCUCCAACAACUUCAUCAACAAGAUUCCAUGUGAGACCAUCAUCUAACUCGCAGCCACGAUGACCUUGAGGAGGUACAUGCAACGAAUCAGCCCAUUCAUUGUCCCAAUCAAAAUGUGAAAUGACCAAAGGAUCAAUGUUUUUCUUCUUCUGACGCAACAUUUGAAAUCUAGUUUUCAUCUUGCGGUUGUAUGAAAUGAAGACAAUGGCAUUCAAUCUCUUAUGUAGCAGCCGGUUCCUUUUCUUUGUAUGGAUCUGGAAAGAUCAUGGAUUAGUAAUUAUAUAUUUUGCUGAAAAACAGCAAACAAACUA